GCGGCGCGGAACAAGCCCCGCAGGGCCUUCCCUGGCCGCCAACACACCACUCCCGGAGCUGAUUCCCUGUGCCCAGCUCCUUUCUUGGCGAGGCUUCAGUCCCUUAGUCGGCCUCAGUCUGUCCACCUUCGGAGAGGUCUGAGCGCUAGCCGGAGACAGGUAGACACCGAGAAGUGACAGAACCCAGAGGAAGCUGGAGAGAGGCAGCGAGGAAACGAGGGCCCGGCGGGCAGCAGCAUGAAAUUCAGCCCAGUGCCCUACCUGCUGCCUCUCCUGCCCGCGCUGGUCCUCAGCACCAGAUGGCCAAAUAGGAACGGCUCCGGUCUGCAGCACCCAGCAAGACCAACGCAGAAGGCAGGAGAGAGAAAAAGAGAAAGGAAGAAAGAGAGAUAACACAAAGGGAACAAAUAUAAAUCACUGACUUUUUUCUUUGGAGUCUCCUUUACCAAGAGCAAAAAGAAUCUUGAUAGUGAGAUUUCUGUCUAUGCUUGUGGCCCUCAGAGAAGCAUUUCAAUAGAUUAUUCAUCUGUAAAACUGGAAUGGGGAGAGAAGAUCCUCUGUCAACCUUAAGAUGCAAGCUGUGCUAUAUAAUAGUUGAAAGGACACAGAAAAAUAUUUAGGACAAUUAAAGCAAGCUACCAUUCUAGACAUAGGGAUUAUAAAUAAAUUGAUUUUGAUAUUGA
Long non-coding RNA from Homo sapiens (human), 683 nucleotides. Ensembl annotates it as long intergenic non-protein coding RNA 2726. The record is from Ensembl. Lineage: Eukaryota; Metazoa; Chordata; Mammalia; Primates; Hominidae.